RNAcentral lists this transfer RNA (91 nucleotides) under Parolsenella catena. RNAcentral's name for it is "tRNA-Ser". It matches the Rfam family "tRNA". From Rfam's summary of the family: Transfer RNA (tRNA) molecules are approximately 80 nucleotides in length. Their secondary structure includes four short double-helical elements and three loops (D, anti-codon, and T loops). Further hydrogen bonds mediate the characteristic L-shaped molecular structure. tRNAs have two regions of fundamental functional importance: the anti-codon, which is responsible for specific mRNA codon recognition, and the 3' end, to which the tRNAs corresponding amino acid is attached (by aminoacyl-tRNA synthetases). tRNAs cope with the degeneracy of the genetic code in two manners: having more than one tRNA (with a specific anti-codon) for a particular amino acid; and 'wobble' base-pairing, i.e. permitting non-standard base-pairing at the 3rd anti-codon position. The record is from RNAcentral. Lineage: Bacteria; Bacillati; Actinomycetota; Coriobacteriia; Coriobacteriales; Atopobiaceae. RNAcentral also lists the same sequence under 2 other names.
GGAGGAGUGGCAGAGCGGUUGAAUGCGGCGGUCUUGAAAACCGUUGGGCGGCUCGUCCGUCUCGAGAGUUCGAAUCUCUCCUCCUCCGCCA